GGAAGAAGAGCUUGUCGGUUAUACCCGGCAGGAAUUGACGGUACCACCAAAGGAAGCCCCGGCUAACUCCGUGCCAGCAGCCGCGGUAAUACGGAGGGGGCAAGCGUUAUUCGGAUUUACUGGGCGUAAAGCGCACGUAGGUGGCAUGGUAAGUCAAAGGUGAAAGCCCUCGGCUCAACCGAGGAACUGCCUCUGAAACUGCUUUGCUUGAGUCC
This 215-nucleotide ribosomal RNA is filed under the name uncultured bacterium. Its description in RNAcentral is "partial 16S ribosomal RNA". It matches the Rfam family "Bacterial small subunit ribosomal RNA", at positions 443 to 649 of the family's 1533-position model. The record is from RNAcentral.